Molecule: long non-coding RNA, 1242 nt
Organism: Aquila chrysaetos chrysaetos
Lineage: Eukaryota; Metazoa; Chordata; Aves; Accipitriformes; Accipitridae
Exons: 2
Source: RefSeq, a predicted model, not a curated record
AUGUUCUGUUUUCAUGGGAGCCGAAGAAAGGCCUCCUGAUGGAGCUGGUCUAACCUUUGCCAUGGGCGCUUCUUUGCUUACGGAGUUAGGACUGGAGGCAGGAAUUUUAGCAUUGGAGAGACACUGUGACAUUUUCCAUUUUAUUUAUGGAGAGCCCAUAAAACCUCACGACACCAUGUACGAAAUCCCCAAGCUCCGAGCCAGGUGUGGAGCAACUGGUCACCGAGCAGGCUUCCACCCAGUCCUAGGUUUGGCUCAUUCGUGUCUAUUUUCUGGUCACUGGGAUGCUUCACUCUUUGCUCGCUGUGUAAAUGAGCAUCUGACUGUGGGAAUAUUUCACACUGAAGUCCAGGCCAAGAAUGGAAAAAUCUUCAAAUCUGUUCAGCUAAGCAGCCUUAUGAGGUACUCACACAGUCCAGGUGUGAGCACAGCCCAAUAUUUUUAUGGUGUUAAGAGUAUAUGUUCUCAAAAAAGGAAGAUGUUGUGUAAGGUUCUCAUCCUGUUGGUGCACUGGAUACGUUUCAGCUAUUGCUGUUUUCCUUUGGAUAGCAUUUCCCUUGGCUGAGUCUCCAGUUUAGCUGUCCUCGGGCAAUAAGUCAUAGUGAUGCAACUGAUUUGGGGGCGACUUUUGGACACGAGUGGUUUGGGUCAAACUGUACGAUAUUGAUACUGAUAGUAUAUGUGCAAAGCACUGUCUGGGAAUAAAACGUUUCUUAGUAUAUCCAAAGUCAAACAUAGACUUGUGCCACUGAUACCACAUAGCAUGGCUUUGUUAAACUAGGCAUGACAUCAGGUCUUCACCAAAUUUGGGGGAAAUUUUGGACUUUUAAGAUAUUUUUCAGCUUAAAAUGCUGAGAAAAUGUCAGGAGUUGAGUUCAGAGAUGAGAAAGACCAAAAGAGGCAUUAGCCUCAUGUAAGUGAAAUCUGCUUGCUCUUAGUGGAGCUGCCAUUGCCUUGCACAGCUUUUCCCUUCCCUUGGUGAUGGUUCAGCAUUGCAUUCAGAAUAGCUCAAGGCAGUUAUAACCUAAGAUGCCUGACAAUUAUGCCCAUCUUCUCCCAUCCUGUCCAGAAUCAAAUAGAUGAAAGAAAUCCAUUUGAAAAUGAAGCUUCAAAUCCAAACUUCCAUCACUGUUAAAAAGGGUUAGAGAUGGGAUGUGAUUCUGAGCAAUUGGAUGGGGUAAAAUUGUGGUUGACCAGAAAAUUUAGUUGCAACUCAAAUAAAACUUUUUAAAGACUUUUUUA